GAUGAACGCUAGCGGGAGGCUUAACACAUGCAAGUCGAGCGGGAAGGGUAGCAAUACCCUGAGAGCGGCGCACGGGUGCGUAACGCGUAUGUAACCUGCCUUAUACAGGGGGAUAGCCCAUGGAAACGUGGAUUAACACCCCAUAGGACUGGAAUUUCGCAUGGGAAUUCAGUUAAAAAUUACGGUGGUAUAAGAUGGGCAUGCGUCUGAUUAGGUAGUUGGUAGGGUAACGGCCUACCAAGCCGACGAUCAGUAGGGGUUCUGAGAGGAUUACCCCCCACACUGGUACUGAGACACGGACCAGACUCCUACGGGAGGCAGCAGUGAGGAAUAUUGGUCAAUGGGCGAGAGCCUGAACCAGCCAUCCCGCGUGCAGGAUGACGGCCCUAUGGGGUUGUAAAACUGCUUUUUCUGCUCCAAGAAACCCGAUUACGAGUAAUCAGUUGACGGUAGAGUAGGAAUAAGCAUCGGCUAA
RNAcentral lists this ribosomal RNA (475 nucleotides) under uncultured bacterium. RNAcentral's name for it is "bacterial SSU rRNA". It matches the Rfam family "Bacterial small subunit ribosomal RNA", at positions 28 to 500 of the family's 1533-position model. The record is from RNAcentral.